RNAcentral lists this ribosomal RNA (492 nucleotides) under uncultured bacterium. RNAcentral's name for it is "partial 16S ribosomal RNA". It matches the Rfam family "Bacterial small subunit ribosomal RNA", at positions 29 to 507 of the family's 1533-position model. The record is from RNAcentral.
AGUGAACGCUGGCGGUAGGCCUAACACAUGCAAGUCGAACGGCAGCACAGUAAGAGCUUGCUCUUACGGGUGGCGAGUGGCGGCCGGGUGAGGAAUACAUCGGAAUCUACUUUUUCGUGGGGGAUAACGUAGGGAAACUUACGCUAAUACCGCAUACGACCUACGGGUGAAAGCAGGGGAUCUUCGGACCUUGCGCGAUUGAAUGAGCCGAUGUCGGAUUAGCUAGUUGGCGGGGUAAAGGCCCACCAAGGCGACGAUCCGUAGCUGGUCUGAGAGGAUGAUCAGCCACACUGGAACUGAGACACGGUCCAGACUCCUACGGGAGGCAGCAGUGGGGAAUAUUGGACAAUGGGCGCAAGCCUGAUCCAGCCAUACCGCGUGGGUGAAGAAGGCCUUCGGGUUGUAAAGCCCUUUUGUUGGGAAAGAAAAGCAGCAGGUUAAUACCCCGCUGUUCUGACGGUACCCAAAGAAUAAGCACCGGCUAACUUCGUG